GGAGGGCAGCGGGGAGGAGACCAGCCAGACGGGAGAAGAAAGCCCUGCCCGGGCUGGGUUGGGACCUCCAGGGCGCUUCCCCGCGCGGCCGCAGCCGGCCAGCCUCUGGUCUCGGUUGGAGGGCAUCGCAGGCGCGGCCUGGCGACCUCCGGGCGCCUUUGGCUGGUGUCUUCCGUAGCCCUCGGCGCGCACCCUCCCGCGUGCAGUGCCCGGAGUGACCUCUUCAGGCCCCGCGGGCGCCUCCUGGGUGGGCCCCGCGGCCCCUCCAACCCUGCCCAGCGUGUGUGCGCGGCCUAGCCAUCUUUCUCCCCAGCCUGGGAAGGCGGGCGGGAGGAGGGGAUCCGAGGCCGGGGGCCGCGGAGCAAAAGGCACGCGGACCCCUAAACGACCCCCGAGCGUUGCCACAGCCGGGAGGGCGGAGGGAAGGUGUGCAGAGCUCGGGGGUCUCCCAGGACGCAGCUUGGCUCCUACCGGUUUCCAAGGCAUCUGCAAGCUCUGUCCUGCGACCUAAAGCAUGGGGACGUCCCUUCCAGCAGCAUCAGUGGGCGAAAAGUUAACAUGCUGAGGGCCACCGGCACCCACACUUGCUUCCAGGAAUACUUGCGGUACAGGC
This 613-nucleotide long non-coding RNA is filed under the name Homo sapiens (human). Its description in RNAcentral is "HSALNT0099534". Lineage: Eukaryota; Metazoa; Chordata; Mammalia; Primates; Hominidae. The record is from RNAcentral.